Molecule: long non-coding RNA, 4409 nt
Organism: Fukomys damarensis (Damara mole-rat)
Lineage: Eukaryota; Metazoa; Chordata; Mammalia; Rodentia; Bathyergidae
Exons: 4
Source: RefSeq, a predicted model, not a curated record
UAAUUGGUCAGCUCUUUCCAACUUGCCAGAAGCAACUUAGCCAUCUCGCUGGGCAGCCUGCAACCCCUGGCAAUUUCUGCAGCCCUGGCGUUUCUGCCUGGAGUCCACCGAUUUUCCAUCUUGGGGCGGAGGUUCGUCUCCCUGAUCCAGGGAUCAAACUGAGGUUCAUUUUGGAAUAAACCUUCAAUUGUAUCAGCUCCACAAUUGGUCAGAUGGCAAAAACAGCUGGUCUCUCUGACAGAGAGGGAAAGUCCUACACGAAGUUCAGGAAAGAACGACUCUCCUCCUCAUCGCAAAUGCUCAAGGACUUUGGGAAAUAGGUGGCAUUUUCAACCUGAAGAAGGAUUUGGAUAUGGAGAGCUGAAAGCUGGGGCCAGGAUCCCCAUUGGGCCAUCCUGCUCCCUUCCUUUGUCAUGUCUCUGCAUGGCUGAGUAGUGACUGGAGUGCAGAUGAAAAGCUGUGGCCCUGCUGCCUUGUCACUGGCAAGACCGUCUCUAAUGAGGACUAAUUUUUCCAUCCACAUGCUUCCCUUUGGUGCCGGCUUCAGAGCCAUUGAGUUUUAUGUAGAUCAGAGAUGAAUUUGUGAUUGUGAUCAUGAGGUCCAGACAGGGCCCCCAGACAGCAUCUUUGCUGCUCUGAAGAUGAGAAGAAACCACUGCUUAGUGUUAUUCACAUUUCACCCAGGCCCCCAGAUGCUGAUUUUCUGGAACAUUCUACCAUGGGGCAACGGAGUUGGUGAGACGCCCAUGUCCACCCAGACACAGCUGCGAUCCUGGGUACCCUGCAUAGAAAUCCAUCUUUCCCCCAGUAGAACCAUUGCUGGACACCCAUCAGGGAGUGUUGAGUGGGAGCCAGGUCCUGAGCUUGGGGUCCAGGGCUCAGCCAGGCACUCCCCACCAGAGGUUCUAUCCUAAUGUGGAAAGCAGGCAAAAUGUCAUCACCAAGUCGUCAAAUGAGGUGUUCACACGAUGUGACAGUGACUCCGGAGAAACAGAGGUGUGGGUUAGAAGGCAGCUUCAGGAGAGGAUGAUUUUAGACAGGGUUGUCAUGUAAACCUCAAGGGAGUGAUAUUUGGGCUGAGACACAAGUGACAGAAGGAACUAGCCCAGGGAAGAGCUAGGGGAAGGGUAGUCAAGGGGCAACUGCAUAUCCACCUGGGUUUAGUGGAGAAAACCAGAAACAAGAAGUAACCGGAAGAAGAGGCAAAGAGAAGCCAUCAAUCAAGAGAUGGUGCAUUGGAGGUGAGAGUGCAGACUUUGUUAUCUUCUGGAUCCAACUGUGCCUGAAGCUUGAUCACCUUGGAUUCUGAUUAUAUGAGCCAACUAGGCUCCACACUGCUUUGUUUUUCCUGAGUCAGUUCAAGUAGGGCUUCUUCAGCGGAAAGACUUGAACAGUACAGGAGUCAUUUUCAGCAUUUCAGGUUGGGGCUGGAAUGAUAUCACCCCAGGUUGGGGAGACAAAAAGUGGCUGCAGGGUGGUAGAAAGAGUGGAUCUGGGCAUCAGGCAGACCUGGGAAGUCCUCCUGGCUUUGCUGCGUGCUGCUGUGUGACCUUGGACAAGGAGAUGGGCUCAGAGCUCUGGCCCUCCACGCCCUCCCGAGGCACCCAGUGAGGCGGAGACAGAUGAAAGAGGCGGGAAUGCGGCCGAGCCAGACACUGGAGCUCGGGAGACGCCUCCUAAGUAUCAGCUUUUGGCCUCCUCUCCCUGCCGCGCACACUGAUUAAAAGCUCAGGACAGUCUUCAUUUUUACAGUGGAUUCUUCCUGGCAUACCCCCCUCAUCAGUUGGGGAGCACCUGUGUCCUGGAUCAACUCGGAAGGCAAAAUGUAUCAGGUUGUAUUGGGGCAAGACAGGGUGACCCAUCUGUCUGCGUGGGACCCUCCACCCCCACUUCCACUGGCUGCCCAGACCAGCAAGACGUCCACCAAGUUCAAGUUCCCUCUUAGAAAACUAGAGAGAGCCCAAUCAAGGCUGGUAUGACAUGAUACAAAAUGAUGUGUUUAAUUACUAAUCUCACUCAGCCCAGGGAUUACUUUCUAUAUGUAGAGGGGUUACCAACAGCUCUGUAUGAGAGUUCACUCAUGUGAUCUUCCAAACCAGCCUGGGAAGCAGUUAUUGCUACCAUAGGCUCUCUGGGUUACACAUAAGGAAAGUGAGGCUCAGAGCAGCCCCAACACACACUGAAUGGGGAGCACGAGAAAUGUAGAGCUCCCUGCUGAUAGACAUCGGCUUCAUUUGGUCUGCCCAGAUGUCCCAACUUUUUAUGAUGUGUCAUGAGCCUAAUUUGGCACUGUUGGGGGGUUUUAAGGACCCCUGACAGUCCUCAGAGCCAUCUAGGGGGCUGACACCUUCAGGAAGGCAUGAUUUUGAGGCACCCCCAAGGCAUGGCCUCUUCCAGCCCACAGGUGCUAUGUCUGGGACUCGCCCUCCUAGUUCUGUUCUGCACUUGCUUUCUGGACAACAGGUUGCUAAGGCAAGAGACAGGAUUUUGCUUCUCAGGUGAGGUGCGUGGGGAGUGAAGACUCAGGCAAGGCACCCGAACAGGAUGCAGGACAUCAUUUUUCCACAAAGCAUAUCCGCAUCUGAUUCUAUCUCCAAAGUAGCUCACAAAACGAUUCACUCAUUGCCAUUUCAAAUCCAUUUUACCACCUUCUCUUACAAUUUCCUAACUAGUUUCCCUAAAAUCCAUCCAUUCAUCUAUCCCUCCUUCCAUUUCUCCAUCCAUCCAUCCAUCCAUCCAUCCAUCCAUCCAUCAUCAUACCCUUCCUCCAUCCUUCUGCCCCUCCACCCACCUGUGAUGUAUGUGUUUAGUGCUUGUCAUAUCCCAGGACCACGUAGGUCUUAGUGCAGAUGGGAAACAAAGCAGAUCCUCUGCCUCCAAGCAAACAGCUCGUGCAAAGCAAGAAGCCCCAUGGGGGACCUUGGAAGUGACCUGUCUUGAAAGAUAAGAUCAUCGGGGGACUCAUGUAGAGUGGCUUUUGGGGGCAGUGGGCCUCACUAUGGAGUUGAAGAGAGAGACAUAACUUACUGUCAAUGGAACAGGUGUGAGGAGGAGUAGGGCAGCUACCAAAAUUGACACCAGGGCAACAGUUGCGCACCAGGGCUGGACCUGGAAAAUGGGUGUGGUCAAGUCCUAUGGGCCGGACUCAGGGCCAGCUGAGCUCAGCCUCAGCCUACUGUGCAGCCGGAUGUGGCACUACACCUGGUUAGUACUGUUUUACCUCAAGGUGCAAGUUACAGGGUGGGAUUCUUUUUGUGUUUCUCUAAUGGGUUUGGCUGUUUAGGACACGCAGCCUUGUGUGAGUCUCCUCCCUAGGGAGUCUGGGCCAGCAGCAUCUGGAAUUACCAAGUUGAUUUGCACACAGACAGACCACCUCGGUCUGCGUGGUGUAUCCUCUCUCUGCAGCUGACUGCUCUGUAGCCUUGACACCCAGCACCCCGCACCCAGCACGGGUGGCACUUGGUGAGCGCUCAGUACGUGUGCAGUGCUGGCCUCCCGGGCCCUGCGUGCUGGCCGUGCUUUCUGACACCGCAGAGGAGCUGUGCUCUGAGCGCGUGCUUCGUUUCUCAUCCUGCCCCUCCCGAAUUGGAGCAGCUGCUCCCCUCAGGCCCUUUAAGGUCGCUUCAGUCUUCUCCUCACAGGGCUGGCCCCGCCUCCACCGCCAUCAAUCCUCAAGGCUGUCCGCAGAGGCGGGUGGACGUGGAUCCCCGCAGGUGCUCGCGGGACCUGUGGCCAUGCGCUGAGCUCAAGGUCUCAAUCAGCCUCAACAGACAGGCAGGGGACUCAGGGAGGCCCGGGCCGGUGCCUCAGGGACCUGGCUUAUUAUGGCCAGUGCUGGUUGCCAUUGCUGGAGCAUCUUAGCUUCCUGUCCCUCCGCUAGCUCUGCAGUCCUGGGACAGGGCCCUGUAAUCUCAGCCUCAGGGUGUCCUGUAGAAUGGGAUGGCACGAUGCCCACACACAAACAAGAUUUGCCAGCCCUGUGCUUUGGUGGGAGGUGGCUUGGGUUCCCAGGGGACUCGCAGAGCUGGCUUGGGGACGAGGCCCUCUCUGGGUGACCCAGAGGCUGUGGGUGGGAACACUCUUUUCUCUGCUCCUGUUCCCAGAGGUAUAAGAGACUGCUCAGGUGGUCAGAACUCACUGCCUGUGCCCCAGCAGUGGGGUGGCCCUGGGCCGCCACCACAGUGUAAGCCACAUCCUGUUGAUGCUCAGAGCACAGACGGGACUCACCUUGACAUCGUGGGGAAUCUGAGAAAGGAAGGUGGCACGGUUCCUAGGAUGGGUGACGUUCCUAGGGGCCCGGGCUUAUUCUGAUGAGGCAGAGGGGGCUGGUUAGGGGAUGUUACGGCUGUGUCUGGGUGUCCCCCAAAGCCUCAGGUGGUCAAGGUGGGGCUUUUUCAGAGGUGGCUGGA